Non-coding RNA from Vicia faba (fava bean), 411 nucleotides. NCBI's taxonomy places the organism in Eukaryota, Viridiplantae, Streptophyta, Magnoliopsida, Fabales, Fabaceae. The record is from the annotation of a GenBank genome assembly.
CAUCUUCACCAUUCUUCAUUCUAUAGAAGAAUCACCAAAAAAAUCUCUCUGCUCCUCUCAUCCUCAUUCUCCAAUUUCUGGAAAAAACACCAAAAGGUCUUUCUUCUUUCUCUCUGCCUCGUCUUCCUGCAUUCACGCUCCAUCAUUCAUCACCACCUUCUUCUUCCACUACUGCACCACCGUCCUUCAACUCCUGUAGAAUCGCUUCAUCCUCCUCAAACCUUCAUCAUAUUUGCACCAACCUUCAAUCUUCAUCUUCAGCGACUCCAACCUUCUGCAAGAAGCAGUUUCAGUAUCAACGGAAUCCGCAAGAAUAAACGGAAACAGCGUCAUGGUUUCGAUCAACACCGCAAUGAUAAUAACAGAUUUGCACAUCCAAAGAAGCACAGAGAAAUAGAGAAGAGGCGAUAA